RNAcentral lists this unclassified non-coding RNA (245 nucleotides) under air metagenome. RNAcentral describes it as "partial contains small subunit ribosomal RNA, internal transcribed spacer 1, and 5.8S ribosomal RNA". The stretch from base 1 to 46 matches the Rfam family "Eukaryotic small subunit ribosomal RNA", at positions 1786 to 1831 of the family's 1831-position model. The record is from RNAcentral.
AAGUCGUAACAAGGUUUCCGUAGGUGAACCUGCGGAAGGAUCAUUACAGAUAUACAUUAAAUAUAUCUUCCAACCCCCUUUAAAUUGUGAACUUUUGGUGUAAGCAAAGCUAGUGCCCCUAUUCAAUUAGGGGUGUUAGAUCUUACAAUCCAAAUUUUUUUUCAUAUACACAAUACCUAUGUAUGUAUUAUGCAUGAUGAUAAAUAAAACAAACAUAACUUUCAGCAACGGAUCUCUUGGCUCUC